AAUAAGGGCUGACGGUGGAU
This 20-nucleotide ribosomal RNA is filed under the name Amazonocrinis nigriterrae CENA18. Its description in RNAcentral is "partial 23S ribosomal RNA". Lineage: Bacteria; Bacillati; Cyanobacteriota; Cyanophyceae; Nostocales; Nostocaceae. The record is from RNAcentral.